AGAUUGAACGCUGGCGGCAUGCCUAACACAUGCAAGUCGAACGGGAGUAGCAAUACUCUAGUGGCGGACGGGUGAGGAAUACGUAGGAAUUUGCCCUUAAGUGGGGGAUAACCCGGGGAAACCCGGAUUAAUACCGCAUGACCUCGAAAGAGCAAAGUGGGGGAUCGCAAGACCUCACGCUUUUGGAGAAGCCUACGUCGGAUUAGCUAGUUGGUGAGGUAAUGGCUCACCAAGGCGACGAUCCGUAACUGGUCUGAGAGGAUGAUCAGUCACACCGGAACUGAGACACGGUCCGGACUCCUACGGGAGGCAGCAGUGGGGAAUAUUGGACAAUGGGCGCAAGCCUGAUCCAGCAAUGCCGCGUGUGUGAAGAAGGCCUGGUUGUAAGACGUACUUAAGUUAGGAAGGAAAAAACUAACGACUACUAACUAACAGUAGAGUACUUGUACGGUACCGUACAGAAUAAGACACCGACCGUAACUCUAGUGCACGACAGCCGACGGUAACUACGUACGAGGCCGGGCGUCGGA
This 530-nucleotide ribosomal RNA is filed under the name uncultured soil bacterium. Its description in RNAcentral is "bacterial SSU rRNA". It matches the Rfam family "Bacterial small subunit ribosomal RNA", at positions 26 to 546 of the family's 1533-position model. The record is from RNAcentral.